UUGCAGGAUACUUCAAAUCUAAACUGCAGC
This 30-nucleotide non-coding RNA is filed under the name Mus musculus (house mouse). Lineage: Eukaryota; Metazoa; Chordata; Mammalia; Rodentia; Muridae. The record is from RNAcentral.